UACGAAGGGGGCUAGCGUUGUUCGGAAUUACUGGGCGUAAAGGGCGCGUAGGCGGUACUUCAAGUCAGGCGUGAAAGCCCCGGGCUCAACCUGGGAACCGCGCUUGAGACUGGAGAACUAGAGUUCGGGAGAGGAUGGUGGAAUUCCCAGUGUAGAGGUGAAAUUCGUAGAUAUCAGGAGGAACACCGGUGGCGAAGGCGGUGGUCUGGGCCGGCACUGACGCUGAGGAGCGAAAGCGUGGGGAGCGAACAGG
Molecule: ribosomal RNA, 253 nt
Filed under: uncultured bacterium
Lineage: Bacteria
Description: partial 16S ribosomal RNA
Rfam family: Bacterial small subunit ribosomal RNA
Source: RNAcentral